UUUUUUUUUUUCGUGGUUGCUCUAGUGUUUACACUAUUUGUUUCAACAUUACAAUUUAUCUUCAAAUAAUAUACUAUUUCACUUAUUGUAUAAGAAUCUUACAAGUUCCUGCCAUGGCACAGUGGGUUAAUAAUCUAACUGCAAUGGCUCGAGUCAUGGCAGAGGUGCACGUUCAAUCCCUGGCCUGGUGCAGUGGGUUAAAAGAGUCCAGCAUUGCUGCAGCUGCAGUGCAGGUUGCAAGUGCAGCCUGGAUUCACUCCCUGGCCUGGGAACUUCUAUAUGCCGUAGGCAGAGCCAUAGGGGGAUUUUAAAAAAUCCUUUAACAAUGUGUUUCCAUUCCCUCCAACUUUUGUUCAAUUGUUGUCACAUAUUUUAUUUUCACAAGUGUUAUAAAUGCCAGAAUACAGUAUUGUGUUUGUUUUAAGCAGUUAAUUAUUUUUUUAAAAAUUAGAGGGGAAAGGGAGCUCCUGCUGCACCAUGGAUACCAGUCUGUUAAGAAUCCGGCAUUGUCUGUGAGGCAGUGUGGAUUCAAUCCCUGGCCUGGUGCAGUAGGUUAAAGAUCUGGCAUUGCUGCAGCUGUGGCAUAAGUUGCAGCUGUGGACCAAUUCGAUCCUUGGCCUUCAACUUCUAUAUACCACAAGUACGGCCAGAAAAAAAAAAAAUAAAUAAGAGGGGAAAGUCUUUUAUACUUAUUCACAUAUUUACUAUUUCUAUCAUUCUUGAAUCCUUUGGAUAUAUCCAAAUUUCUACCUAGUAUCAUUUUCCUUUUAUCUUUUAUUUGAAGGACCUUAAACAUUUUUAAUAGUCCUUACCUAUUGGUAAUGAACUCUCUGAGCUUUAGUAUGUUUAAAAGUCUUUUUUGCCUUCAUUUUUAAAGUCUUUUUUUCUGGAUAUAGAAUUAUUGGUUGACAGUUAAUACUUUCAAGAUGUUGCUCCACUGUCUUCUGCUUGUGUUGUUUCUGACGUCUGCUGUCACUUUUAUCCUUGUUCUUUUGAACACAGUUUGUCUUUUUUUCUCUAGCCGCUUUUAAGACUUGCCCUUUACUACUCUAGUGACCUACAAUGUAAAUUCAUAAAGUCAGCUUAGUCCAAAUUUAACAUCCAUGGUCUCUGUAUCAUUCAUCUAUUCUGGACCUUUUCAACCUCACCGUAUCUCAUAGGCAAUGGAUGACUUUUGUUUGUUUGUUUGUUUUUUGUCUUUUUGCCCUUUCUAGGGCUGCUCCCACGGCACAUGGAGGUUCCCAGACAGGGGUCCAAUCAGAGCUGUAGCUGCCACAGGCCCACACCACAGCAACAGCAACGCAGGAUCUGAACUGCGUCCGCGACCUACACCUCAGCUCACAGCAACGCCAGAUCCCCAACCCUCUGAGCAAGGCCAGGGGUUGAACCCACAACCUCAUCAUUCCUAAUCAGAUUCGUUAACCACUGACCCAUGAUGGGACCUCCAAAGGAUGACUUUCUGAUGUGACUUUUGAAGUGAGCUGCACGAUCACCUCAAGGAUAGCUCCCCUCCUCAUUUCCACUUUUUUUUUUUUUUUUUUGUCUUUUUGUCUUUUUAGGGCCACACCCAUGGGCAUAUGGAGCGGCCCUAGAAAAGGCAAAAAGACAAAAAAAAAAAAAAAAAAAAAAGAAUUUCAAGAUGAUAAUAACAUUAAACCAAGUGAGGAGCCCUCUGAGCAUGGAGCCCUGCACAACUGCUAGCUCUGUGUGACAGGGACAUAAAUACCACUAACAAGGUGCAUCAGUGCCAGGAAUUCCUUUCCUGUGUUUGUUUAAUUCUGAUGGUAAAUACUUAAAUAUUUUUGUUCUCUUUUUUAAAGUGUGAAUAUUGAAAACUACUGAAAAAACAUUUUCUUGGUAUACUCAAAUCAUGCUUCAUGGUUAGUUUCAAACAGACUGCCUGAGUUCCUAUCCUGCUGGAUUUAAUCUUAGGCAGGUUAAAUAACUUCUCUGUAUCUCAGUUCCUCAUUUGCGAAAAUGUGGAUAAUAACAGUGUCUAACUUAAGAGAUUGUUAUAGGGUAAAUGAGAUCAUAUAUGUUAGGUGCUAAAUAUAGUGCCUGAGGCUCCAGCUAGCAACUUUACACAAAUUAGAAAAAGAGCUCCUUUGGGCAGAUGAAUUAAAAGGUUCUACCCCUCACCAAUGAGUCAAAGGAAGUUACCCCUUCCAGGUCUGUGCUUCAGAGCUUGGCUGAAUUUCAGUUCCACUCCUACCCUUGGAAGUCCCCUUUGUACCAGCCAUAAGUGCUUAAGCAUGUGGGUGGCCAUGCUAACAUCUGGUGCAUAGUAAAUGCUCCAUAAAAUCACAGCUUUUGUGAGGCCUGUGAAGUGUAGUGGUUAAAUCCAUGGCCUCUGGAAUCAGAUCUAGAUGUAGAAUUGUUGAGUUGUGAAGUCUGUCUUCAAUACUCUCCACUAUCCUUCUGUAUGUCCCCUCUCCCUGCUUCCUCCUUGAAGCAUCUCUGCUCUCCUACAUCUUGUCUGAAGGAACUCUACAGUUAGGCAGUUCAGAAAGCCAAAGACUGUCAGGUGCUGAUUAGUUUCCUUGGGAGCAAGACCUUCAAGAGGCAAAGUCUGGCAGGACUCUUCAGCCUCGGCCUUGAAUUCUGGCUUCUGAAUCAAUAGAAAAUGUGUACAGGGAGCAAGAAAAUAGCCUUGUAUUCACUACGGCCUUAACUGAUAUUUCAUAUCCCCAUAUGGUAAAGGGUUCAAAAUUGAUUUAUUUAUAGUCAUCUGAUAAUUUCUUUCAGAGCAGAAGCCAUGUGCUAAAUUCCUUUUAACCCCUGCAAUGUUAGGUACUUAAUAUGUAUUUAGUUAGUAUGCAUUCAGUAUUAAUAGCAUCAUUGGUAUUGCACUUUGCAAGAUGCUUUCAUAGAAACUGCCUCAUUCUAUUUUACUGCAGCCUUAUGAAAUAGGCAGAAUCGCCCUUUUGAGAUCAAAUUUACAGAUGAGAAAGGUAAGAUCCAAGAAGGCACAUGGCCU
Molecule: long non-coding RNA, 2977 nt
Filed under: Sus scrofa (pig)
Lineage: Eukaryota; Metazoa; Chordata; Mammalia; Artiodactyla; Suidae
Description: lncRNA (ENSSSCG00050015449.1)
Source: RNAcentral